CAUGCAUGUUUCCGCAAUCAGGGACGAAUAGCUCAGUAAAACUGCGAUGAUUUAGUCUGGCUGUGUAGAUAACUACGUGAAAAUGUAGCUAAGGGAAGGCAGAAUCAGACGCAUGACUAUCAGUUAGUUGGUAGUGUAAUGGACUACCAAGACAGUGACGGUUGACGGGAAAUUAGGGUUUUGUACCGGAGAGGGAGCCUGAGAGAUUGCUCCCACGUCCAAGGACGGCAGCAGGCGCGAAAAUUGCCCACUCUUUGCAGGAGGCAGUUAUGAGACGUGAAGAUGAGUAUCUUGUAAAGAGGGAUAGGAGAAUUGGAGGGCAAGUUUGGUGCCAGCAGCCGCGGAAAUACCGACUCCAAGAGUGUGUAUGAGAGAUGCUGCAGUUAAAAAGUCCGUAGUCAUAGAAGGGCAAAGAGAGAUGCGAGGUCUCACAGUGCGAUGAUGGAGGAGCCGAUGGGGAACAUAGUAUACCAGGGCGAGAGAUGAAAUGCCAAGACCCCUGGUGGACUGAGCGA
This 515-nucleotide ribosomal RNA is filed under the name Vittaforma corneae. Its description in RNAcentral is "SSU rRNA". It matches the Rfam family "Microsporidia small subunit ribosomal RNA", at positions 49 to 596 of the family's 1311-position model. The record is from RNAcentral. Lineage: Eukaryota; Fungi; Microsporidia; Nosematidae.